RNAcentral lists this ribosomal RNA (165 nucleotides) under uncultured bacterium. Its description in RNAcentral is "partial 16S rRNA". It matches the Rfam family "Bacterial small subunit ribosomal RNA", at positions 355 to 511 of the family's 1533-position model. The record is from RNAcentral.
UAGGGAAUCUUCCACAAUGGACGAAAGUACUGAUGGAGCAACGCCGCGUGAGUGAAGAAGGGUUUCGGCUCGUAAAACUCUGUUGUUAAAGAAGAACAUAUCUGAGAGUAACUGUUCAGGUAUUGACGGUAUUUAACCAGAAAGCCACGGCUAACUACGUACCAG